This is a long non-coding RNA of Gasterosteus aculeatus aculeatus (three-spined stickleback), 2295 nucleotides long. The record is from Ensembl. NCBI's taxonomy places the organism in Eukaryota, Metazoa, Chordata, Actinopteri, Perciformes, Gasterosteidae.
AUUGAGUAGAUCUUAAUCAAAAAGCAGAAAGUGAAGGUGAUUGUGUUUGAGAUUUGAUGUGAUAUUGGUAAUCCAUGGAUGCUGGGAUUACUGUAUAUAGCACAUCGAAUUGCUGGGCUUGUUGUUUUGGUUUGCCUCACUUAUUCAGCCUCCUCUGUAAUUAAUCGCUGCCGAGUGAACCACAGAUCAGACCCCCCCCCCCCCCACACACACACACACAUAUGCGGUGAUCACACAGCGGCAAUGGUUCUAGCGGCGGUAAUUAAAGAACUGUUAGCGGUGAGUGAGUUCCCCUCCAUUUGAACUCUCACUUCCAUUCCAUCCUCUCUUGGUAUCUUCCCCUUUUGUCUAUUUCAUUUCUUUUGAUCAACCUCGUAUCAUCCUUCUUCAUUUUCUGUUUUUUUUUGGUCUAUUUUUCCCCCUUCCCAUUACUCUUCUCUCUCCCUGCCCACCGCCCUCCUCCUCUCACAUUCUUCCUGCUUUAUCAUUGUCUCCUUCCUCUUCCUCCUCACCUCCAUCCUCCACCUCCCCCUCUCCUUCAUUUCCCUAGAGGUGAACCAAUGUGUGCACGCUGUUGCAGCAAAGGGCAGAGCUGGAUACACACAACUAGUCUAGCGGAGGUGAGUACAGCAUGUGUGUGUGUGUGUGUCUCUUUUCGGCACGCUCACACCUUGUAGACACCGCAGGUGCUGCAUCAAGAUAAAUGAGCCGUCAUUAGCCAAUCAGGUCAGCCGGUGGGAGGGCGACGGGAAGCCGAGGAGCGAGAUCAGCUAGUGGAGGUCAAGCCUCUGAAGGGGGGAGUUGUGUGAGCGCGCGCGUCUGCGUGUGUGCGCUCGCUGGUGUCUCUCUGAAGGCUCGAGAAGGAUAAUUUCCGGAGAAUAAGUUUUUCUUUUCCUCCUCCUCCUCCUCCUGCCUUUCCCGUCUGUCCAUCUCCGUGAAGCGGAGGCGUGCCAGAGAUUUGGGGCCUCGUGGUCCGGCGGCCUAAUUGGCACCCCAAGCCCGUUGUGUUCAUCAGCGGCUCAUCGAGAGUGUGGGGGACGGAGGCUGAGUGGGGGCUGUUUUCUGCCGGAUGGGGACAGAAAUGUCGCGUUGUGUUUUUUAAUGUCUGCUUCCCGAAGCACGUCUCCCGGUCUAAAGAAAGGGCUGUGAAACCAAUUUGAAACAAAAUUUAAACUUUCUCAUCACGGCACCGUAAUCAAUCAAUAUGUGAGUGUGUGUGUGUGUGUGUGUGUGUGUGUGUGUGUGUGUAGGGGGGUGAUUCUUUGCCCUUUUAACAUUUACUGCAGCUAAUACAAAUGGAUUUAUGCAUAAAAGGCGCCGGUUCUCACAGCCAAAUUGCUGCUGGCAAAGGGGAAGGUAAAUGAUUAACCCCAUGGAAAAACUCUAAUCUCCCCCCUUCUCUCCCUCUAUGAAUGUGUGAAUGUGUGAAUGUGUGUGUGUGUGUGUGGGGGCAUUCAGGAUGGGCGGCGGCCCUCUUUGAUCGCUAAUCCUUUUUUCUGGCCCGACUUUCUAUCCGUCGUUCCUGUUUUUGUUCGUCCUCUGCCCAUCUCCUCUCCCGCGGCGUCUGCACUGUGAGCGGCCCACAGGAGCAUAUUUUGGACAGGACGUCCCUCUCCCUCCCUCUCUCUCUUAUCUGCCUGUUCCUUUCCCUGCGCUUCUUUUGGAGUGUUGGUUCUAAGUUCUGACACCUCAGCAAGUUAGCGGCCUGUGAUCAUUCCUUCUCUCCGCGCGGGCAGAGAAGCAGGUCUACUGCUGAACUCCACAGUCCAACUUCUUUCGUCUACGUGCAGCCAAAGCUUAUGUGGGACGGGUGCUUCUCAAAACCACAGCUUUCUUCGUUGAACAUAAUCCUUUUCUGACUCCAGCUAUUGAGGUCUUCUGUCUCUACCUCCCAUCUCUCUCCCUUCUCCUUCUCUGAGAUCCGGGUGACCUUUCUGUCUUCGUUCCCCGUACGCGGUAUAUAAGUUUCAUUCCGCUUCUCAGUUUCAGGUAAGCUGUCCAACCAGCUAAGGCCAGAAACAUUUCUGCUCUCACACACACACACACACACACAUACUGUGAGUCUGUGUGUCACUCAGCCCUCGGUCACCAGCGAAUACCUCGCAGCAUUAUUAUUCAACGCGCUCAUAACUUCUUAGAGGAGCUCUGGAAAUCGCCACGGCUUCGUCGAGGCUUCACAACAGCGCCAGUGUGUUCUUACACACACUUUAUACUGCGUUUUAUGAUGGUAAAUUCCUAAUUCAUUAAGUUGCAAACUUGUGGGAGAUAUUCCAAGCAGCUGUGCAGGAGCUGCAG